GACGAACGCUGGCGGCGUGCCUAAUACAUGCAAGUCGAACGCAGUGGGGACGGGUGAGUAACACGUGGGUAACCUCCCAUCAGAGGGGAUAACACUUGGAAACCGGUGCUAAACCGAUACUGAUGGAUGGACCCGCGGUGCAUUAGCUAGUUGGUGAGGUAACGUCUCACCAAGGCCACGAUGCAUAGCCAGCCUGAUAGUUGUGUCGGCCACACUGGGACUGAGACACUGCCAUGACUCCUACUGGAGGCAGCAGUAGGGAAUCUUCGGCAAUGGACGAAAGUCUGACCGAGCAACGCCGCGUGAGUGAAGAAGGUUUUCGGAUCGUAAAACUCUGUUGUUAGAGAAGCGGUAUCUAACCAGAAAGCCACGGCUAACUACGUGCCAGCAGCCGCGGUAAUUC
RNAcentral lists this ribosomal RNA (403 nucleotides) under uncultured bacterium. Its description in RNAcentral is "partial 16S ribosomal RNA". It matches the Rfam family "Bacterial small subunit ribosomal RNA", at positions 28 to 526 of the family's 1533-position model. The record is from RNAcentral.